Long non-coding RNA from Grus americana (Whooping crane), 2308 nucleotides. RefSeq lists it as uncharacterized. NCBI's taxonomy places the organism in Eukaryota, Metazoa, Chordata, Aves, Gruiformes, Gruidae. The transcript has 3 exons. The record is from RefSeq and is a predicted model, not a curated record.
GCGGGGCGGUCGCCAUCUUGGCUGAGGGAUGCCGGGCUCCGCUCUGUGGGCGGGAGGCGGCGGCGGGACGGCCUCGUCCUGCGGCCCCCGGGUGGCCCGGCACGGCCCAGGGGGGCCCGUCCUACCGCCCCGGGGAGCCAGACACGGCCCAGGAGCUCUUGCUGGAGGAGCCGACCCAGCUGACUGCGGCGCUUGCUUUCCUUCGCCGGUCUGCGGCUGAGGCGAGCCCGAGGAGCAGAGGAGCUUUUCCAGGACUGGGCUACCUCCACAAUGCUCUAAAGAGAGGUCUUUAAGCAUCAUGCGGAAAACAAUCACCAGCAACAGAUAAACAAAUGCAGCAGUCUCCCUUUGACGUUGAGAUACACAGAGCAUGAAGCAGCCCUGAUUCCAAAGAGCCUGAAGGCUGGCACACCCUCAAUGAAAAAUGGAUACAGGUCUGCAGCCUUUCGAGCCAUUUAGGCUUUAAAAGAUUCGCAGUUAAAACUCAUUUCUGUAUUGCUCAAGAAAGAACGCUGAACAGCUUUCAGUCUCAACUGCAAUUCUUGAGAUCUUCAGUGGAGCACAGCAACUAUUUUAUUUUCUCCAGACUCUCAGGAGAUGGAGGGACACCGUGCCAAGCAAGGGGAGAGAAAAGGCAAGCACUCCAAGUCAGCAAGAGACCUUGUGAAACCACAGUAUUUUUUUUUUUUUUACUCACUUUCAUUAUUCUAAAAUAGAUGCCAAGCUAUUGCCUCUUAAACUUGGAAUCAUUUAGUAGCAUUACAUUUCUUACAGACAGGAAAAAGUUGUUAUAGUUCUCCAAACAGCAGGGAAGUGCACUUGAUCACAUUCCAGAUGUGUGAUAACCACCACCAUUAAGCACAAUAAAAGGAAUUUUAUCCUAUAUGUUAGUACAGGAAAUCCACUACAAAGUUGGGUGGGUUUUUUGGUUUUGUUUUAAACCUUAAGUUCAAUCUGACAUGGUUCCACACAUGAAAAUAAAUAAACUCAACAGCUGGAUUAUGCAUACAUUACCUCAUAAUAGGCAUGCUAAUUGAAUGUUGUAUGGAGCGUAUACUAAAUGCCAGCAUUAAGAAAAAAGAAAGCGAGAAGUUAGUUUCAGUGAUAGACUGAGAAGAAAUUGGCUUAGAAAGCUGACUUCUGGAUACAAUUUUUGGUAAAUAGCCAGUCUUAUACAGUCUUAUAUAGUAACUGCUUGGGUUUGCUUUUUUAAAUUGCUUAGCCAUGCACACACACACCACAGAGCAAAAGCUGCAACAACUUUUUUCCUUUUCAGAAAGAUUCAAGUGCCAUGCUUGUUAGUACACAUUCUGCUUAUUCGCAACAGUCUGUCUGCUCAUUAAGUUUCUCAAGCAGUGAGACACAUGCUGCAAUUACAGUUUUGACAAUAUCAAGUAGAAAGUGAACACUCAAGAGUCUUACCAAUCAACUCAUCUUCCUACUGAAAGAAUUAUUCCUAUAUUCAGAAGGCUUCCAUUUCAAGUCAGUGUAAGAUUUCCAUACUCAUCAAUACAAAUUAUCUACUUGUCAAUAUAGAUUAUCUAGCAAGUGCAGUCACAUGAAUCUAUAUUCAAGGUCAGGUUUAUGCUGAGGGUAGGGAGAAAAUCCUAGUCUAAACCAUGUUCUGAAAUUCAGGGAGGAUUUCUGUAACCAGCAGUGUUGCUAUAUAGUUACUGUUUGUUUAGUGAUAACACACACCUACUCCUAGAAGGUGAAUGGAUAUAGAUUAAGGAGCUCCCAAAUAACUUUGAGACCAUCUGGAAUGUAAUUUAGUUCCGUAUUUUAGAAAAAUCCCUGUUUACUCUUGAUACAAUUUAGUCUUAAAUGUUUCUUGUCAAAUACCAUAAGUUAGAAAAACUUACUUGGAAUGUCAAAUUUUGACUGGGCUUUACGUCUUUCAAGAGAAUAUUUUCCAGGCAAUUGCUGGGGGACCAGGGGGAAAAACCUCACAUUUGAUGCACCUCCAAAACUCCAAUUAGUAUUUCAGCACAAUGGAAGAUACAUAAACAGAAGGACAAAGGUUCCAUGCUCAUUGCAGAACGAGUUUUAAGAGAUUUUUUUGGGAAAGCUCAUCAGUAGAAUAGAGUGGUAGAAAAAAACCAUACACAUGUGAAAAGUUCCCUUAAGGCUGGGAUCCCUUAAGGCAGAUGCACAACCGAAGGUUGGUUUGUAGGUACAGCGUGCUGGGAAUCAGGUACGCGAAGGUGAGACGUUGCCCUGACACACAUCAGUAGUGUGUGGCCAUGUUUCAUCCCCUUCCCCAGCCCCAUUUCUGCUGCAUUUCACCUUCACAGAUGGUUUGGCUUCC